CGCUGUGCGGGGUGUCACAGGGUGUACGGGGGUAGUACAUGGCGUGCGGAGCGGGUCAGGUUGUGCGGGGUGUCACAGGGUGUACGGGGGUAAUGCAUGGCGUGCGGAGCGGGUCAGGCUGUGCGGGGACAGGGUUCACCCGUCGCUGGCGGGAGGUUCGUGCCGGUGCGGGGGAACGGGGCACGCAGCGAUGUGAGGGGCCAGGGCACUGCCGAGCCCUGUGUUAGCGCCUGUUCCGAGGCAGCGCCGACACCCCGCGUAGCGGGCUGGAAUGUCCCUUAGAGCAGGGACCAUCCCGCCCCGCUGCUCUGUGAAACGGCAGGUCUGGAACUGGCGGGAGUGACACCAGGCAGCUCCCUCCUCUCAUCUCCCGUGCGUGUGACAGCGCCGGCCUCUCUCCGUGAGUGCAGCCCGUGAGUCCCUGGGCUGGAGAAAGCCGAAAGCUUGGCCAACCUGCAUCUUCUUCGAAGUACGAACAUAGCCAGUCCAGACUCUGAGUGAGCUGCAGGAGCCCUCCAGGUCUGGCUGCUAGAGUCUCUCUGCAGGUGGAAUGCCUCCUGUCCUUCAAUUGGCUCAGCAGAUCAGCCAGGAGGGAAACCAACAGCAAAAUGGACCAAAUUUGUCAAGUUUGCUUAAUUCCUUACCUGCUGCACCCAGCAGGAACCCAGUUCUGCCCCAGCAGGUACAACCAGCAGGAUGGGAUAAGAACCAAGUGCUUGUGGUCCCAGCUCCUGUUCCCUCACAACAACAGGAAAAGGAGAUUCUGCAGCAAACAGUAGCACUGAGGAAAGAAAGUUUAUGAUCUCUGAAACCUCUGCCCAAACUCCAUGAGGCCCCACAACAUAAAUCACACCAUGAAGAAAUGCAGUGGAUGGCAACAGAUUUUUUUCAAGAAAGAAGAUGAAAGAUAACUGUCAAGAGAGAUACAGGCUGGUCUCUCUCUGAAGUGAUUGGGAUGAAAAACCAAAUUACUUGCUACAAAGCACAAAUGCUGCCAAAGCUGAAGGUAAUUGGAAAGCUUAUUGAAGAGAUCUCCUGCUCCUCUUCAUCACCCAGACUUGAGCCAGUGAAGCUCAAACCAAACAGAGAGCUGUGUGUGUUCCCAGCUGUAGCAGUUGCUCCUCCAUGUUUGUAUGGGGCAAAUCCUUCUUAGGCAUGGAGCCAUGGAAUGAAACUCCUGCAGCUGAGUCUCGAGGAACAGAGGUGGUGCAGCAUGAUUCAGGCAGUCUGGGAGCUCUGCCUGUCCUGCUUUGGCAGCUGAAAGCAGAAGGGACAGCAGGUGCUGAUUUUGACACAGAUGAUUGCAAUGCUCAGCAUGCUGGAGCUUUUCCUGAAUUUCCAUUUCCUCAUGUGAGUGAGAGUGGUGCUCACAGCUGGCAUUAUCUGGUAUUCAUAAAAAGCUUCAACCAAGACAAGUGAUCCUUCUUUGCUAUCCUGUGCUAUCUCUGACACUGAUUUAGAUCUGCUGAUGGACACAAAGAUGGGGUGGUGUGACAAAAGUGCAAGAUACCCACACAUGCAGGCUUUUAAGUGGUAAUUCUGUUGAAGAGAGGCUGUUGAAAAAGAGUAUUAAAUAUAAUUAAAGAACUGGCUGCUCAGGGAGGGGACUGUUCAAGACUUUUUAUCCCAGGCUUAUUUGGGAACCAGUGAUAUGUGUUCACAGCUAAAUUCAGUAGAAAUCCUGAACUGUCACCUCAUAUAGAAAAUCAGAAGGUAACAAUAUCCAAUAAAUAUUGAUAACAUUGAUAUUGAUAAAUUGUAAUAAAGAUCUGCGUGUUCCAAUGAUAAUGUUACCCUUUUACUGACAUUGCAAAAUCUGUAGCAAAAGGUGUCAAAUACAUCUGUAAUCUGACUUUUUUCAACUUGAUUUUAAGACUACUAAAAAUUUUUUGCAUUUUUUUUCUUAGAGGUCUUGGAUCAUAUCAGUGAGGUGUUUAACUCUCUGUAACAAUGUUUAUCACUCUCCAAAGCAACGCCAAAAUGGUUACAUAAAAACCAUUGCAGGUGCAGGGGGAAAGGAGAGUUUAAGUUGAAACUUGCUUUGUAUUGUGAGGACCUGGGGACUUCUCGGGUCCUUUUUUUGGUUUUAUUUUAUUUUAUUUUAUUUUAUUUUAUUUUAUUUUAUUUAUUUUCCUUUUAAUUCCUUUUUGCUGUUAGAGUACUACAUGAGUGUUUACUAAGCAGAAACAUAACUGAAUUUUAGAAUUCUGAAUAGCUUGGUAUACAACCAAAUAUUAGUAAAUAACUUCUCCUAACAGUAUGAAUAAUAUAGGUUAUAUUUAUUACAUUUCCAUACACUUAGGAGUAUGAAAUUUCCCUGAUGUUAUGACAAUAUGACCUUGGAUAUAUCAUUUAGCACUACCAGUAUGUGAAAAAUAAAGGAGGGGAGAUGCUUAUUUUAACUUUUAAGUGGUAGGAUAUGAAUUGUCUUCAGUCAAGACUAUUGAUAACUAUUAAUUUUGAGACAGGGGACUUUUGAUUACGUGUUUUUGGUACCUAAGCCUUCACUUUGUAUUUAUUCCAGAAUGUAGGUGGUCAUCCUCUUUGUGUUAGACAAGCCUUGCUAAAAAACAGAAUUCUGAGUGUAUUCAAAUCUAUAUAAAUCACUUUGAGUCGAUGACAAUGACUACUAGAAAAAGAAGUUCCUCAAAUAGAUUUUUGUAAGUUUACUCCCACUGUCAAUAUUUUUUCUCAGAUUUAACAGUAAAUCACUGGUGGUCUGAUUGGUGAAUUUGUUUUCUCUUAAGCACAAGUGUAUUUCACGGGGACCUUUUUCUUAUCAAAGGCUCUGUGAUGACCUUUAGCCUUAAGGUAAAGUGUCCAAGAAUCAACUCUGUGCUCGUGCUGAUGUAAAGAAAAGCCUGAAGUGCUUCAGUGCGGCUCCAGCUGAUGUACCAGAAGUCCUUCCUCAUGUCCGGCUGGACCCUCCUGAGCAUCAGCGUGUGCCCGUUGUCUCCCGUCCUGUAACCUGGCAGCACCGGCCGCGCUCCGAGCCCCCUGCACACCCUGACAGACAGGGAUGGGGUCCCCUGCCAGCCCCUGUGCUCGGGGUGAGCAGCGCCGGCUCCCUCAGCCUUUUCCCGCAGGAGAUGCUCCAGCCCCUCCAUCACCUUUGUUUGCCCCGGCUGGCCCCGCUCCAGGCGCUCCCCGGCUCUCCUGCCCUGCGGAGUGCAAGUGUGGAUUUUCACACCGUCUAUUGAAGAGAAGCGACAGCCCUGCUCCGUGCGCGGACAGAAACUACCCUUUGCUCGGUCCUUAGCCUCCCCUGCCUCUGGCACAAUAAAUAUAAUUUUUCUG
Long non-coding RNA from Vidua macroura (Pin-tailed whydah), 3297 nucleotides. RefSeq lists it as uncharacterized. NCBI's taxonomy places the organism in Eukaryota, Metazoa, Chordata, Aves, Passeriformes, Viduidae. The transcript has 9 exons. The record is from RefSeq and is a predicted model, not a curated record.